CGAGGAUACAAAGUUAGAAACGACAGCCAGCACAUAGUAUUUAUCUUCCAACUUCAAUCCCAUCCGUCCGAUCAGUAUCUGAUCUAACGGGACACAUUCCUCCACGCUUCUACUUCAUUGUCUUUUGAUUCACUCAAUUCGUCAUGGCUCGCAUAUCUCCACGAUUACACUCUCUUGCCCGUACGAUCCAAAUGUAAUCCGACGGAUGAAAAUCUCUCUGCACUGCACACUUCUCUGUGCCGUUCUCCCACUUGAUAAUGAUAUCCCGCUCUUUUUCUCUGUCCAAAGGCCACAAAAAUUUCUUCCAUUUUUCUUCCCCUGUAAAGAAGAAAUGCAAGAACAAGCGACUAGUUCAAUCGCAGCCAAUUCUCUGCCGUCCAGCAGUGAGAGAUCUUCGAGUUCUGCUCUUCAACUUGAAUUCAAAGAAGGAAUGGAGAGCGACGAGGAAAUUAGAAGAGUGCCGGAAUUCGGCGGUGAACCGGCUGGAACUUCAGCCUCAGGUCGAGACGGCGGUUCAGUUGCGGGUGCAGAUCGAGCACAGGCUCCAGGGGAGGGUCAGAGUCAGAGAAAGAGAGGAAAGAGCCCAGCUGACAAAGAAAACAAGCGGUUAAAGAGGUAAGGCGUGUUAAUAUUACCGUUUUGCCCCUACCAAUCUAGCUGUUCCUACGUGGGGUAGCCAAGGCAUUUAGGUGUAAUGCACUAAUCUUAGCGAGGCAAAAAAUGAAAAUUAGGUUGCUGAGAAACAGAGUUUCAGCCCAACAAGCAAGGGAGAGGAAGAAAGCAUACUUGAAUGAGUUGGAAACCAGAGUCAAAGACUUGGAAAAGAAGAACUCUGAGCUUGAAGAGAGGCUUUCCACUUUGCAGAAUGAAAAUCAGAUGCUUAGACAUGUAUGUCAUAAUCCCAUCCAUACGUAUCACAUGCUUAUCAAUUUCACAACUUACCUCCCAGCUAUCAUUAUUAUAAAUUAAGUGAAUAAUAAUUAAUAAACUUGUACUAUUAGCACAUACCCUUUGCAAAUUAGGAAAGGGGAAGGGGUAAUAAAUAAUAAAUGGAUAAUGGAAGGCCAUGUGCUUUUCAUUGAUGGGUCUGUGGGUGAGCCCACAUCCGUAAGUUUGUACCUGCUUGGUAGCAGGAGCAUCUCUUUUUGAGAGAGGCCUCUUCUUGAUUUAGUAAUUGGGCUCCUAUUUCAAAUUCCACUAUGGGAAAAAAAGAAAAAAUCAAUCUUUUCUUUUCUUAAUAGACCUGUUUUCUGGACCCCAUCACAUUGUUGCAUUUUGGGUCCGCUGUUCACUGCCUGACACACUGAAACUUUAGGAUAAAUUUUAAGAGUUAUUCAUGAAAUUUAAGGGCUUAUAAUAGAAUAACUUUUGAACUUAAAAAUAUAAUAUAAAUUUUUUUAAAAUUUUACAAAAUAAAAU
Molecule: unclassified non-coding RNA, 1419 nt
Filed under: Hevea brasiliensis (rubber tree)
Lineage: Eukaryota; Viridiplantae; Streptophyta; Magnoliopsida; Malpighiales; Euphorbiaceae
Source: RNAcentral